ACCUACGGGGCGCAGCAGUGAGGAAUAUUGGUCAAUGGGCGCGAGCCUGAACCAGCCAAGUAGCGUGAAGGAUGACUGCCCUACGGGUUGUAAACUUCUUUUAUAAAGGAAUAAAGUGAGGCACAUGUGCCUUUUUGUAUGUACUUUAUGAAUAAGGAUCAGCUAACUCCGUGCCAGCAGCCGCAGUAAUACGGAGGAUCCUAGCGUGAUCCGGAUUUAUUGGGUUGAAAGGGAGCGUAGAUGGGUUGUUA
Molecule: ribosomal RNA, 251 nt
Filed under: uncultured bacterium
Lineage: Bacteria
Description: partial 16S ribosomal RNA
Rfam family: Bacterial small subunit ribosomal RNA
Source: RNAcentral